Molecule: long non-coding RNA, 513 nt
Filed under: Struthio camelus australis
Lineage: Eukaryota; Metazoa; Chordata; Aves; Struthioniformes; Struthionidae
Description: lncRNA (ENSSCUG00000011907.1)
Source: RNAcentral
AAGAAGAUGACCUUGGCACUGGAGGUUAGAUUUUUUUCCAAAACCUAAAGAGAAAUUUUGUGUGUAUUAGCCCUUGUAUUAAUUCAAAUAGAAAUCUGAUUAAUAGAUGGUUUGUUCCUUUUCGUUAGUCUGAACAGAACGGUAUGUCUGGAUUUAUUAGUCUUCCUGAAUGCUUGUUUUAGUCUUUGCCUUACAAAUAAUUUUUUACUAUUUCACAUUUAAUAGCCUGAAAGGUAUAUUUUUGUCUUGGGGAGAUGAAUAACAGCCUUUAAACCAGAUACGCUGGUUUCCGUGAGAAGCCGUAACCAGCCUGCAAUAAUGAAAGGAGGAGGGACUAAAAGAACUCAUGAAGAGAUGAAACUCAUUGAAAUUAUACAGCAUACAGAGGUACCUUACAAGAUAGCCUCUGAUUUGAGAGCAGAAAAAGAUUACUGUCCUAUUUUGCGAAUAAAAUUGAAGGAAUCCAUACUAGAAUACGUAGGCAAUGCAGCAGCAAUAGCUACAAACAUCUAA